AGCUUGUUGGUGGGGUGAUGGCCUACCAAGGCGACGACGGGUAGCCGGCCUGAGAGGGCGACCGGCCACACUGGGACUGAGACACGGCCCAGACUCCUACGGGAGGCAGCAGUGGGGAAUAUUGCACAAUGGGCGAAAGCCUGAUGCAGCGACGCCGCGUGAGGGAUGACGGCCUUCGGGUUGUAAACCUCUUUCAGCAGGGAAGAAGCGAGAGUGACGGUACCUGCAGAAGAAGCGCCGGCUAACUACGUGCCAGCAGCCGCGGUAAUACGUAGGGCGCAAGCGUUGUCCGGAAUUAUUGGGCGUAAAGAGCUCGUAGGCGGCUUGUCGCGUCGGAUGUGAAAGCCCGGGGCUUAACCCCGGGUCUGCAUUCGAUACGGGCAGGCUAGAGUUCGGUAGGGGAGAUCGGAAUUCCUGGUGUAGCGGUGAAAUGCGCAGAUAUCAGGAGGAACACCGGUGGCGAAGGCGGAUCUCUGGGCCGAUACUGACGCUGAGGAGCGAAAGCGUGGGGAGCGAACAGGAUUAGAUACCCUGGUAGUCCACGCCGUAAACGUUGGGAACUAGGUGUGGGCGACAUUCCACGUCGUCCGUGCCGCAGCUAACGCAUUAAGUUCCCCGCCU
This 621-nucleotide ribosomal RNA is filed under the name Streptomyces angustmyceticus. RNAcentral describes it as "bacterial SSU rRNA". It matches the Rfam family "Bacterial small subunit ribosomal RNA", at positions 243 to 874 of the family's 1533-position model. Lineage: Bacteria; Bacillati; Actinomycetota; Actinomycetes; Kitasatosporales; Streptomycetaceae. The record is from RNAcentral.